This 658-nucleotide long non-coding RNA is filed under the name Brassica napus (rape). RNAcentral describes it as "long non-coding RNA (BNAP_LNC018923)". Lineage: Eukaryota; Viridiplantae; Streptophyta; Magnoliopsida; Brassicales; Brassicaceae. The record is from RNAcentral.
ACCAAGUAAAGAAUUGAAAAGAUGGUUUGUUUGAUAUGUGUGUUGCUAAUGUCACGGUUCGCAAAACGUCUAGCUUAAAAUUUAAGACGAGAGAUACGAAUGAUAUAUCUUUCGGUAAAAUACGAAUGAUAUGGCACGUCGUAUUCAUCCUUUAAUGGAACACGGUCCAUUGGUUAUUUUAGACGAAUUUUAGGAGAUGAUGCAUUCCUGAAUCCUGAUUAACAUCUGUCCUUUUUAUUAUUUUAAUUUCGCUUCUCAAAUAUGUUGAAAAUGACAUCCCAUCAUUAACAUAUUAUCUAUUUAAUUUUUGAAAUCCAAGCAACCUUAUGCUCAUUUGUAUAUAACUUAAUAGUAUAUCUCUACGAAUGUAAUAAAAUAAUAUAUAUGUACGCGGAAAAAAUAGUAACGUUCUCAAAAUAUUCCAUUGUUUUCUCUCCAACAAGGUUCUUGCAACGUGGCACCAGUCAAUAAGUCAAGAGGACCGACAUCACCGACAAUACGUCUUUUACGUCAAUCACUACACGUUUUUGGGUCCUACGCAAGGACGAACUCCCAUGCUAUAUUGACAUGUGUCGAUACUUCAUUGCUUAAUAUUACUUUUCUCUCUGCCUUCUUUAUUUUUAUAAUCUACUUUCGUAUUACCGGCAUUGUCCUUCGU